CAGUCGCCGCGGUAAUACGUAGGGUGCAAGCGUUAAUCGGAAUUACUGGGCGUAAAGCGUGCGCAGGCGGCUAUGCAAGACAGAUGUGAAAUCCCCGGGCUCAACCUGGGAACUGCAUUUGUGACUGCAUGGCUAGAGUACGGUAGAGGGGGAUGGAAUUCCGCGUGUAGCAGUGAAAUGCGUAGAUAUGCGGAGGAACACCGAUGGCGAAGGCAAUCCCCUGGACCUGUACUGACGCUCAUGCACGAAAGCGUGGGGAGCAAACAGGAUUAGAUACCCGUGUAGUCCCUGUCUCUUAUAC
Molecule: ribosomal RNA, 301 nt
Filed under: uncultured bacterium
Lineage: Bacteria
Description: partial 16S ribosomal RNA
Rfam family: Bacterial small subunit ribosomal RNA
Source: RNAcentral